CCUAANACAUGCAAGUUCGAACGAAGCUUUGACGAACGAUUCUUCGGAUGAAUUCUGAUAUGACUGAGUGGCGGACGGGUGAGUAACGCGUGAGCAACCUGCCCUUUCAGAGGGGGGAUAGUGUCUGGAAACGGACAGUAAUACCGCAUAAUGUACAUUGAUGGCAUCUUCGAUGUACCAAAGCUUUUGCGCUGAAAGAUGGGCUCGCGUCUGAUUAGAUAGUUGGUGGGGUAACGGCCUACCAAGUCGACGAUCAGUAGCCGGACUGAGAGGUUGAACGGCCACAUUGGGACUGAGAUACGGCCCAGACUCCUACGGGAGGCAGCAGUGGGGAAUAUUGCACAAUGGGGGAAACCCUGAUGCAGCGACGCCGCGUGGAGGAAGAAGGUCUUCGGAUUGUAAACUCCUGUUGUUGAGGAAGAUAAUGACGGUACUCAACAAGGAAGUGACGGCUAACUACGUG
RNAcentral lists this ribosomal RNA (463 nucleotides) under uncultured bacterium. Its description in RNAcentral is "bacterial SSU rRNA". It matches the Rfam family "Bacterial small subunit ribosomal RNA", at positions 47 to 507 of the family's 1533-position model. The record is from RNAcentral.